GAGAUGUGUGAUGACGCAUAUCAAUAAGCGGAGGAAAAGAAACUAACAAGGAUUCCCUUAGUAACGGCGAGUGAAGCGGGAAGAGCUCAAAUUUGAAAUCUUCAAGGUUCUACCUUGACGAAUUGUAGUUUAUAGAAGUGUUUUCUGUUAGUAGAGUGGCUAAAAGUUCUUUGGAAUAGGACAUCAUAGAGGGUGAGAAUCCCGUAUUUGAUCAUUCUUUCUAGCUUUGUGAUACACUUUCAACGAGUCGGAUUGUUUGGGGAUGCAGUCCAAAAUGGGUGGUAAAUUUCAUCUAAAGCUAAAUAUUGGCGAGAGACCGAUAGCGAGCAAGUACCGUGAGGGAAAGAUGAAAAGAACUUUGAAAAGAGAGUUAAACAGUACGUGAAAUUGUCAAAAGGGAAGCGUUUGACACCAGUGUUGUUUUUCCGAAAAUCAAUUACGAAUAUUUUAUUUUUGAGAAGUUAUGACUUCAUCGGCUUGCUUCUCUCUUUACGAAACUUUCUUAAUGCACUUUUCGGUUAACAAGUCAACAUCAAUUUCUUUUGUUGUAAAAGGGUAUGAGGAAGGUGGCUUUCUUUUCGGAGAAAGUGUUUAUAGCCUUGUACCUCUGCAAUCGGAGAGAUUGAGGUCUGCAGCGUAGAUCCUUCGGGGUUAGAUACAUUUGUGCUAAGUUAUAGCUUUUCAUAGACAACUUGUUGACUAUGUUAGGUCUUGUAGCUUACUCGCUUAUGCUAUUUUACCUACGCUUAGGAUGUUGAAGUCAUCGUAUCGCGC
RNAcentral lists this ribosomal RNA (774 nucleotides) under uncultured Neocallimastigales. Its description in RNAcentral is "partial large subunit ribosomal RNA". It matches the Rfam family "Eukaryotic large subunit ribosomal RNA", at positions 23 to 645 of the family's 3401-position model. The record is from RNAcentral. Lineage: Eukaryota; Fungi; Neocallimastigomycota; Neocallimastigomycetes; Neocallimastigales.